UGUGUGUUAUAGAGAUAAUUUUAUUAAAUAAUAUCAAAUAUUAUGAAAUUUCAAGAAAAGGUAAAAAUAAAAUUUACUGACAAUAUUAAAAAACAACAAAAUACUUUAUUUAUACUUAGAUAAACUAUGUAUAUAUAAAUUAUUAAUUUAUGAUUUUAAAGGGAUUAUAUAUUUACAAGAAAUUUUCUAAAAAAGAAUUAUGAUCUCAUUACCUUAUUGAAUUAUAUCAUAUUUUGAAUCAGGUUUGGAACAGAUGAAAUUAUUAAUUUAUCAUGUUUUUUUAUUUAUGUAGCUUUUAAUGUAUAAGUUAUUUUAUGUAUGUGUGUGUUUAAAUGGUUUCUUUCAUCUACAAGAAUUUUGCUAUCAGCAGCAUCCCUAACCCUAGCAGCCGCCUGAGAGAGAAAAAAAAAAGAGAUUUCCGAUUGGCCCUCUCCGGCAUCCGGCGAGCCUCGUCGGUGCCGUGAGAGGGUAGUUACUGUCUUAUAGUAGGUUCUUCUGUUCGAUCUGAGGUGUUUCGGCGGUUAUGAGAUGGUGAGUGAUGGUUUGUUUCCGUCGAAGACCCAGUGAUGCGUUUGUUGGUUUGAACAGAUCCGGAUCUUCUUUCUGGUGCGCGGUGCAGUACUAAGUCGGCUCUGAUCUAGGGUGUUAAUUCUUCCAUCGGAUUUGUUGAAGCUUUGCUCAGGCAUGUCUCUUUGGAUCCUCGUUGUCGUCAAUCAACCUCGCUCCUGUUCCAUUUGCUUCAAUGGUUGAAGCGGUUCUAUGCGGCGCUUUAUUCCUCCUUUUGAAUGAGUCCGGUUUGGGUAAGGGAUUCUCUUCGAUCCCAUGGGUUUAGCUACUCUGCUUUGAUUUUUCUCAAGCUACAGGUUAGUUCAGUAUUGUGUGGUUCUUUUUUGAACUGUCUUGUUUCUAGCUUCUGGCUUCUUUAAAUCUCUUGGAUGAUGGCUUCUCUUCGAUCAACUACAAGGGUGGAAUUGGUUUGGCUUCAGCUCUGUAUGAUUUACCUAGUGAAGGUGUUGUGCUCCUGGGGGAGCGACGGUUUUGUCAUUAUUUCCGGAUCCUUAUGGAGCAACGGUUUGUGUCGAUUUGCUUCUACCGCAAUUUUUUCGAAGCAGAUACGGAUCUCCAGCUGGUUUCUUCUCAAGCUGCUACUGUGGAUAUUAGAAGAACCAAGCUGUUUGAAAAGUUCGUUUAUGCUUUAAUAGUUUGUCCCCUAAUCUUGGAUCUUUGAUGGCAAACAUGCUACAUAAAGCUUCCUUCUUUCAUGCCGGAGAAAGGAGCUAAGCUCAUCUGAUGAUUAGAGUUUAGAGCAUAUAUCUCUCGAUAAAAAUGGUGUUGCUACGAGCAUUGCUAUCAGCGUUACGCGGGUUCAUCGCUACCAAUCUUAUCUUGCGACUUGGGUCCCCACUAGCUACUAAUCCACUAUCCGAACAGAGGCUGUCAAUGGAGUCUCCAUGACUGGUUGACGAGCCUCUAGCAUGUUUCCUUUGUUUAUGCUUUGUUUGGGCACCUACUGGUGUUCUUUAUUUUCUGUUUUUUUCUUCUUUUAAUUUUGGUAACAUAUUCCUCCCAAUUCUCUGUUAAUGAGGUAUGUGUUGUUAGGGAGGCAGUUUGUUCUUUCUAAACUUCACAUUAUAAAAUACCAGUGUUAAAAAAAAAAGAAGAAUUUUGCUAUCA
Long non-coding RNA from Brassica napus (rape), 1674 nucleotides. RefSeq lists it as uncharacterized. The record is from RefSeq and is a predicted model, not a curated record. The transcript is spliced from 2 exons. NCBI's taxonomy places the organism in Eukaryota, Viridiplantae, Streptophyta, Magnoliopsida, Brassicales, Brassicaceae.